Molecule: ribosomal RNA, 1413 nt
Filed under: uncultured bacterium
Lineage: Bacteria
Description: bacterial SSU rRNA
Rfam family: Bacterial small subunit ribosomal RNA
Source: RNAcentral
GACGAACGCUGGCGGCGCGCUUAACACAUGCAAGUCGAACGGAGAAUGUGUAUUAAAUCUUUCGGGAUGAGAUAUGUAGUCUUAGUAGCGGACGGGUGAGUAACACGUGAGUAACCUGCCUUGUAGAGGGGAAUAACGGCUGGAAACGGUCGCUAAUACCGCAUGAUAUGUAUAUUUCGCAUGAUAUGUGCAUUAAAGAUAAUUAUCGCUAUGAGAUGGGCUCGCGACUGAUUAGAUAGUUGGUAAGGUAAUGGCUUACCAAGUCUACGAUCAGUAGCCGGACUGAGAGGUUGAACGGCCACAUUGGGACUGAGACACGGCCCAGACUCCUACGGGAGGCAGCAGUGGGGGAUAUUGCACAAUGGGGGGAACCCUGAUGCAGCGACGCCGCGUGAGGGAAGAAGGUUUUUGGAUUGUAAACCUCUGUCCUUGGGGACGAUAAUGACGGUACCCAAGGAGGAAGCUCCGGCUAACUACGUGCCAGCAGCCGCGGUAAUGCGUAGGGAGCGAGCGUUGUCCGGAAUUACUGGGUGUAAAGGGAGUGUAGGCGGGUUGACAAGUUGAAUGUGAAAUGUACGAGCUUAACUCGUACACUGCGUUCAAAACUGUGAAUCUUGAGUAAAGUAGAGGCAGACGGAAUUCCUAGUGUAGUGGUGAAAUGCGUAGAUAUUAGGAGGAACACCAGUGGCGAAAGCGGUCUGCUGGGCUUUUACUGACGCUGAGGCUCGAAAGCGUAGGGAGCAGACAGGAUUAGAUACCCUGGUAGUCUACGCUGUAAACGAUGAUUACUAGGUGUGGGUGUGUAAACAUCCGUGCCGGAGUUAACACAAUAAGUAAUCCACCUGGGGAGUACGACCGCAAGGUUAAAACUCAAAGGAAUUGACGGGGGCCCGCACAAGCAGUGGAGUAUGUGGUUUAAUUCGAUGCAACGCGAAGAACCUUACCAGGUUUUGACAUCCUACUAACGAAGUAGAGAUACAUUAGGUGCCCUUUUAUUAGGGAGAGUAGAGACAGGUGGUGCAUGGUUGUCGUCAGCUCGUGUCGUGAGAUGUUGGGUUAAGUCCCGCAACGAGCGCAACCCUUGCAAAUAGUUGCUACGCGAGAGCACUUUAUUAGGACUGCCGUUGACAAAACGGAGGAAGGUGGGGAUGACGUCAAAUCAUCAUGCCCCUUAUGACCUGGGCUACACACGUACUACAAUGGCCAUGAACAAAGGGAAGCAAUACUGUGAAGUGGAGCGAAUCCUAAAAAAUGGUCUCAGUUCGGAUUGUAGGCUGCAAUUCGCCUACAUGAAGUUGGAAUUGCUAGUAAUCGCGGAUCAGCAUGUCGCGGUGAAUACGUUCCCGGGCCUUGUACACACCGCCCGUCACACCAUGAGAGUUAGCAACACCCGAAGUCAGCAGUUUAACCGUA